CGCCGUACGGCAGGCAACAGACUUGGAAAGCGUGUUGGGGAAACCCCUCACGAGUUCGAAUCUCGUAUCCUCCGCCA
Molecule: transfer RNA, 77 nt
Filed under: Actinoplanes digitatis
Lineage: Bacteria; Bacillati; Actinomycetota; Actinomycetes; Micromonosporales; Micromonosporaceae
Description: Amorphoplanes digitatis tRNA-Ser
Source: RNAcentral